GGCUUCGUGGUGCAGUGGUUUCGCACCAGGCCGGUCCCGCCAGGACCACGGGUUCGAAUCCCGUCGAAACCA
RNAcentral lists this transfer RNA (72 nucleotides) under Gaeumannomyces tritici R3-111a-1. Its description in RNAcentral is "Gaeumannomyces graminis var. tritici R3-111a-1 tRNA". It matches the Rfam family "tRNA". Rfam says of the family: Transfer RNA (tRNA) molecules are approximately 80 nucleotides in length. The record is from Rfam by way of RNAcentral. Lineage: Eukaryota; Fungi; Ascomycota; Sordariomycetes; Magnaporthales; Magnaporthaceae.